UAGGGAAUCUUCGGCAAUGGACGAAAGUCUGACCGAGCAACGCCGCGUGAGUGAAGAAGGUUUUCGGAUCGUAAAACUCUGUUGUUUGAGAAGAACAAGGACGUUAGUAACUGAACGUCCCCUGACGGUAUCUAACCAGAAAGCGACGGCUAACUACGUGUCAGCAGCCGCGGUAAUACGUAGGUGGCAAGCGUUGUACGGAUUUAGUGGGCGUAAAGCGAGCGCAGGCGGUUUCUUAAGUCUGAUGUGAAAGCCGCCGGCUCAACCGGGGAGGGUUAUGGGAAACUGGGGGACUUGGGUGCAGAAGAGGAUAGUGGAAUUCCAGGAGUAGCGGUGAAAUGCGUAGAUAUAUGGAGGAACACCAGUAGCGAAGGCGGCUCUCUGGUCUGUAACUGACGCUGAGGCAAGAAAGGGUGGGGAGCAAACAGG
This 429-nucleotide ribosomal RNA is filed under the name Gemmatimonadota bacterium. Its description in RNAcentral is "Gemmatimonadetes bacterium partial 16S ribosomal RNA". It matches the Rfam family "Bacterial small subunit ribosomal RNA", at positions 355 to 776 of the family's 1533-position model. The record is from RNAcentral. Lineage: Bacteria; Pseudomonadati; Gemmatimonadota.